GCAGUGAACUUUAAACAACAACAAAAAAAUGAAUCUGCCUUUGUUUCACUCUGGCUCUGGGCUUGUGGGGAAACUCCAUGAGCAGAAGCUUGUGUGGCCCUCACCCCGUCAGAUGAGAGCUCACCACAGGGAUGAAGCUGAGGUUCCCGGAGGCCAGAUUCUCGGUCGUGUACACUGACAGACAAGCCUUCCCACCACUAAGAAAAGCCUCAGCCGCCUCACUGCCUCAGAUGCCUCUGAAUCCAGGUGUGUUCACCACGAGUAAUGAAAAUCAACACACCGAACCAACAAAAUUGGUUAUAUCUCAUGUGCUUUGAAUGAUGCUAUUAAAAAU
Long non-coding RNA from Bos taurus (domestic cattle), 334 nucleotides. The record is from Ensembl. Lineage: Eukaryota; Metazoa; Chordata; Mammalia; Artiodactyla; Bovidae.